AACGCAAGUUGCGCCCCAAGCCAUUAGGCCGAGGGCACGUCUGCCUGGGUGUCACGCAUCGUUGCCCCCAUCAAACCUCAACCCUUUCGGUGAAGGUUGAAGUGUGGGCGGAAAUUGGCUUCCCGUGCGCUCACCGCUCGCGGUUGGCCCAAAUAUAAGUCAACGUUGAUGAAGCGUCGCGACGAUCGGUGGGAAUGCUUUAUGCUGCCUCUUUCGAAGUCGUGUGUGCUCGUCAAUUCGGAUCUUACGACCCUUCUGGCAUCGCAAUGGCGGUGCUCGCAUCGCGACCCCAGGUCAGGCGGGAUUACCCGCUGAGUUUAA
Molecule: unclassified non-coding RNA, 321 nt
Filed under: uncultured fungus
Lineage: Eukaryota; Fungi
Description: partial contains 5.8S ribosomal RNA, internal transcribed spacer 2, and large subunit ribosomal RNA
Source: RNAcentral